Molecule: ribosomal RNA, 358 nt
Filed under: uncultured bacterium
Lineage: Bacteria
Description: partial 16S ribosomal RNA
Rfam family: Bacterial small subunit ribosomal RNA
Source: RNAcentral
CCUACGGGCGGCAGCAGUGGGGAAUAUUGGGCAAUGGAGGCAACUCUGACCCAGCAACGCCGCGUGAGCGAUGAAGGUCUUCGGAUUGUAAAGCUCUUUAAGCGGGGACGAAGAAAGUGACUGUACCCGCAGAAUAAGCCUCCGCUAACUACGUGCCACCAGCCGCUGUAAUACGUAGGAGGCAAGCAUUAUCCGGAAUGACUGGGCGUAAAGGGUGCGUAGGUGGUUUGGCAAGUUGGUUGCGUAAUCCCGGGGCUCAACCGCGGUACUACUACUGAAACUGGUGGACUUGAGUGCAGGAGAGGUGAGUGGAAGGCGCGGUGUAGCGGUGGAAUGCGUAGAUAUGGGGAAGAACACC